Non-coding RNA from Arachis ipaensis, 1722 nucleotides. The record is from RefSeq and is a predicted model, not a curated record. NCBI's taxonomy places the organism in Eukaryota, Viridiplantae, Streptophyta, Magnoliopsida, Fabales, Fabaceae.
GGAGAAGGAAGCUGACCUGCGAUCGACGGAAGGUCACUAUGUCUCAUCUGAAACAAUACCGGACGUAAACUUGGGAAGUGAUGAUCCUUCAUCUCAAGGACACACAGACCAAAGUAGCAUAAACAAACCGGCAGAGAGCAUGUUGAGUCUGGUUGAAGAGUCAGCCAGUGAGCCGGCUGAAGAGAAUAUGAUGGUUAUGAGGAAAGAGACAUAGUCUGAAGUGCUUGUAACAGUUCCGAUUCAAGUUUGUCUACCACUGUCCCAAACAACCACUGUGGCAGAAAUUGAACAAACACUUGAGACAGAAAAUGAACCAACCCCUGUGCUACAAAUUGAAGGAACUACAAAAAGUACUCUUGAACCCUCCCCCCAACAACUUGAAGAAAGCACACCCACGCUUCCCCCAACUCCAUCUAAAAUUAAUCCAGCCCAAGAAGACGUUGCUGCGCUGAUGAUGAUGGCACGGACAACAUCGUAUGUUCCUAAAACAGAUCUGAUGCCAUCAUUCAGCCUUGACUUGACUGAUUCAAGCCAAGAAGAAGCAGCAACGCAGAAGGGAGCGUCAACGCAAGAUGGAGGGAUGGCAAAAACUCCAGAAAUCCCAAAACUACUAAAACAAUUAGGAGAUCUGGUACAAAAAAUUGCAAGUGGUGGGGUGACAACAAAAGAAAAAAGUCCACAGAUACUAAAGGAGAGUGGCACAAAGAGUUUCGAGAAGUUUGAAACUCCUGUGAGGACAAAUGAAGAUACUUCUGACAUGAAAGAGAAAUGCUACCUCUGGGCCAUACGAGUGAAGACAUACGCAGAUUGACUAACUAAUGAGUUUGACAAGGUCUGCACACUCCAAGCCCAAGAUAGAUACAUUUUGUCAAAACUCUACUUUGCAUCACUCGCAGCUAAAACGCAUAUAGAAGCUGAGAUUGUCUCUGCCAUGUGCUUCAUCCUAAACCAGCAAAAGAUUAAAAGGUUUCAAGAAGAAGUAUACUAUCUCCCCCCUGAUAUUGUGAACAUGGCCAUUGCAAAUCAUCCACAAUGGGUAUUCUUACGGCCUAAAACGAAUAAGCCAUUCAUGGUGGAAGACUACCCAAUGUUUAUACCCUUCUUGGACCUUAAAAAAUUAGCAUCGCAUCGUUAUAUAUUUGCACCUGUUUGCCAUUCACAACAUUGGUGGUUAUGGUUGGCUGAUAUAAGAAAGCAAAAAUUUUAUAUAGUCAACCCAUAUCACACAAAAUCUCCGUCCGAUGAGAGAACUGCCCUGAAUACAUUCAUUGGAUAUGUAAUUUCACGAAUUAGAGUAUAUGCUUGGGGGUGCCUCUGAAGACAAGGGACAAGGACAAGGAAAUUGUACCACCAUACCUUCACAUCUCAGGCCAAAAGACAAGCUAUGACUGUGCUAUCUACGUAAUGAAGUGGCUUGAGAUAUUUCAGCCCACAAACAUUAAAAGAAAAAAGUAUGAGUGGGACAAUUGGACCCAGGACGAGGUGGACCACUUUAGAGUAGAAUAUGCUUCCUGGAUUCUAUUCCAUGAAAUGAAUCAAGACAAAGCUGAAGCCAUUAAGGAAAGUAAUGCAAUAAGACUGUCCAAGCCAUCCUCAUUGUUAUUGAGUCCAUAUUGUCAGAUAGAUUCUAAGGAUAUUGACACUGAUUAAUGUAACUACUAUAUAGUCUUGUAACAAAUUGAACACAUGUUGUAAAAAUUUGCCAAUUAUGAGUAAAACUCU